AGUGAACGCUGGCGGUAGGCCUAACACAUGCCAGUCGAACGGCAGCACAGUAAGAGCUUGCUCUUACGGGUGGCGAGUGGAGGACGGGUGAGGAAUACAUCGGAAUCUACCUUUUCGUGGGGGAUAACGUAGGGAAACUUACGCUAAUACCGCAUACGACCUACGGGUGAAAGCAGGGGAUCUUCGGACCUUGCGCGAUUGAAUGAGCCGAUGUCGGAUUAGCUAGUUGGCGGGGUAAAGGCCCACCAAGGCGACGAUCCGUAGCUGGUCUGAGAGGAUGAUCAGCCACACUGGAACUGAGACACGGUCCAGACUCCUACGGGAGGCAGCAGUGGGGAAUAUUGGACAAUGGGCGCAAGCCUGAUCCAGCCAUACCGCGUGGGUGAAGAAGGCCUUCGGGUUGUAAAGCCCUUUUGUUGGGAAAGAAAAGCAGCAGGUUAAUACCCCGCUGUUCUGACGGUACCCAAAGAAUAAGCACCGGCUAACUUCGUG
Molecule: ribosomal RNA, 492 nt
Filed under: uncultured bacterium
Lineage: Bacteria
Description: partial 16S ribosomal RNA
Rfam family: Bacterial small subunit ribosomal RNA
Source: RNAcentral